GCUGGUUGCUUUGUCUCUUCUAAUAUGCUGUUCUCUUGUCUGCAUGGCCAUACGUAAAGCCGGCUUUCCGGAAGAAUCCACACUGACACCGAUGAUUCUUCCGGGCAUCAUUCUUUUAUAUUCCUGGGAAGUUGCUAAAAAGGCUGCGUGUGGACCUCCAUAACCCAUUGGGACACCGAAUCUUUGAGCAGAACCCACAACAAUAUCGGCUCCAAACUCACCAGGAGGUUUUAACACAGUCAGAGCUAACAAAUCAGUAGCCAUGACAACUUUCACACCAUUUGCAUGUGCGUUCUUGAUGAACUCACCAUAGUCCAACAACUCACCUUCGGUCCCUGGAUACUGAACAAGAACUCCACACACAUCACCAGAUGAGUAAUCGAAAUCCUUGAGAUCAGAAGUGACGACUUUUAGAUCAAACCCAUCUGCUCUAGUUUUACAGAUAUCGAUUGUUUGUGGGUGGCAGUUACUUGCGAUGAUAAAGGUUUUCUUUUUACCCUUUUGGAUGUUGUUACACAUCGCCAUAGCUUCAGCAGCCGCAGUUCCUUCAUCGAGUAGGGAAGCGUUUGACAUGGGUAAACCAGUGAGAUCGGUGAUCAUGGUCUGGAAAUUGAGCAGGGAUUCUAAACGUCCCUGUGCGAUUUCCGCCUGAUAUGGAGUGUACUGUGUAUACCAACCAGGGUUUUCCAUGAUGUUUCUUAGAAUGACUGGAGGAACAGAUGUGUUGUAGUAUCCCAUACCGAUGAAGGACUUGUAGAUCUUAUUCUUGGAAGCUAAAUCUUGCAUGUGUGCGAUCAUUUGGGAUUCGGUUAAGCCUUCAUCGAACUUAGGGAAUUUCAUUGAUUCAAGACGGAUUGAUUUGGGUACAGUGGCGUCAAUGAGGGAAUCGAGAUUUGGAAAACCGACAAAUUCGGCCAUUUUGGUUUGUUCAUCUGGGGUGGCGGAGUUAUGGCGGCGUGGGAAGGUGUCACUUGGUUUUAAUGCAUCUACUGAUAUAGAUCGAACUUGCGAUUGCGUAUGCGAACCGAACCCAUUGAUGGUUCUUUCUGAUCUAACGUUUCUGCCACUACCACUACAUACGUAUGGAGUCAAAGAGGAGACAUACCUUGAAGGCGAAUAGAGCGCAGGGGAUGAUGGGUUUUGUUUGGUUUGUGAAACCAGGCGCCCGAGGAUGGCUUUGUUUGCUAGCCUGCGUGCACGCUCCAUUGUGUGUGAUGGAUACUAUCGAACUUGAAUG
This 1237-nucleotide long non-coding RNA is filed under the name Lactuca sativa (garden lettuce). RNAcentral describes it as "long non-coding RNA (LSAT_LNC002190)". The record is from RNAcentral. Lineage: Eukaryota; Viridiplantae; Streptophyta; Magnoliopsida; Asterales; Asteraceae.